Molecule: ribosomal RNA, 405 nt
Filed under: uncultured Latescibacterota bacterium
Lineage: Bacteria; Pseudomonadati; Candidatus Latescibacterota
Description: bacterial SSU rRNA
Rfam family: Bacterial small subunit ribosomal RNA
Source: RNAcentral
UUUGACAUGGCAGGAAUCCCGAAGAGAUUUGGGAGUGCUCGAAAGAGAACCUGCACACAGGUGCUGCAUGGCUGUCGUCAGCUCGUGUCGUGAGAUGUUGGGUUAAGUCCCGCAACGAGCGCAACCCUUAUCCCUAGUUGCCAUCAGGUAAAGCUGGGAACUCUGGGGAGACUGCCGGUGAUAAACCGGAGGAAGGCGGGGAUGACGUCAAGUCCUCAUGGCCCUUACAUCCCGGGCUACACACGUGCUACAAUGGCAGGUACAGAGGGCUGCGAAGCCGCGAGGUGGAGCGAAUCCCAGAAAACCUGUCUCAGUCCGGAUUGAAGUCUGCAACUCGACUUCAUGAAGGCGGAAUCGCUAGUAACCGCGAAUCAGCAGGUCGCGGUGAAUACGUUCCCGGGCCUU